AAUGAACGCUGGCGGCAUGCCUAACACAUGCAAGUCGAACGAGACCUUCGGGUCUAGUGGCGCACGGGUGCGUAACGCGUGGGAAUCUGCCCUUGGUUCGGAAUAACAGUUAGAAAUGACUGCAAAUACCGGAUGAUGUCGUAAGGCCAAAGAUUUAUCGCCCAAGGAUGAGCCCGCGUAGGAUUAGCUAGUUGGUGAGG
Molecule: ribosomal RNA, 200 nt
Filed under: uncultured bacterium
Lineage: Bacteria
Description: partial 16S ribosomal RNA
Rfam family: Bacterial small subunit ribosomal RNA
Source: RNAcentral